Molecule: small RNA, 105 nt
Filed under: Salmonella enterica
Lineage: Bacteria; Pseudomonadati; Pseudomonadota; Gammaproteobacteria; Enterobacterales; Enterobacteriaceae
Also listed under: 2 other names
Description: partial RtT sRNA
Rfam family: RtT RNA
About the family: This family represents a bacterial cis-regulatory element known as RtT RNA.
Source: RNAcentral
UAUCUCUCCGUACGGGGAAGGAUGAGAAGCUUCGACUAAGGUUCGAUUCGAGCGCAGCGAGAAAGCGUUGCCGCAGGCAACGACCCGAAGGGCGAAGCGCGCAGC